GCUUGCACUUUGCUGACGACCGGCGCACGGGUGCGUAACGCGUAUAGAACCUACCUUUUACUGGAGAAUAGCCCAGAGAAAUUUGGAUUAAUGCUCCAUAGCAUCAUUUUUUGGCAUCAUUAGAUGAUUAAAGAUUUAUCGGUAAAAGAUGGCUAUGCGUUCUAUUAGCUAGUUGGUAUGGUAACGGCAUACCAAGGCGACGAUAGAUAGGGGUCCUGAGAGGGAGAUCCCCCACACUGGUACUGAGACACGGACCAGACUCCUACGGGAGGCAGCAGUGAGGAAUAUUGGACAAUGGAGGCAACUCUGAUCCAGCCAUGCCGCGUGUAGGAAGACUGCCCUAUGGGUUGUAAACUACUUUUAUAGAGGAAGAAACCGCUCUACGUGUAGAGCUCUGACGGUACUCUACGAAUAAGGAUCGGCUAACUCCGUGCCAGCAGCCGCGGUAAUACGGAGGAUCCAAGCGUUAUCCGGAAUCAUUGGGUUUAAAGGGUCCGUAGGCGGGUUUGUAAGUCAGUGGUGAAAGUUUUCGGCUCAACCGGAAAAUUGCCAUUGAUACUGCAAGUCUUGAAUCGUUGUGAAGUGGUUAGAAUGUGUAGUGUAGCGGUGAAAUGCAUAGAUAUUACACAGAAUACCG
Molecule: ribosomal RNA, 637 nt
Filed under: Flavobacteriaceae bacterium GUDS970
Lineage: Bacteria; Pseudomonadati; Bacteroidota; Flavobacteriia; Flavobacteriales; Flavobacteriaceae
Description: bacterial SSU rRNA
Rfam family: Bacterial small subunit ribosomal RNA
Source: RNAcentral